Small nuclear RNA from Dendrobium catenatum, 127 nucleotides. RefSeq annotates it as U11 spliceosomal RNA. The transcript has a single exon. Lineage: Eukaryota; Viridiplantae; Streptophyta; Magnoliopsida; Asparagales; Orchidaceae. The record is from RefSeq and is a predicted model, not a curated record.
AAAAAGGGUUGGUCAGCUAUGUAUGCCACGCACAUCUUUUUAUUGAUGAGCGUUGUAUGGUUAUCAAGAAAUAUGGCCGACAUAAUUUAUGGAAUAUAUAGGAUUGACUUGCUUGGCAAACCCUGAU